ACACUCGGCCUGAUAAGGGAGAUGCCAUGAGCAUGAAGAUAGUCUUCUCAGGCAAGGCACCCUGUUGCACUGCAGACGAGCCUACCCUGUGCUUUCCCCAAAUGUGGGAAACUCGACCACAAAACUUUUGGUGCAGGAGCUUGGGGGUGCAUUUGCAGUCUACCCUAG
Small nuclear RNA from Rattus norvegicus (Norway rat), 168 nucleotides. Ensembl annotates it as U1 spliceosomal RNA. Lineage: Eukaryota; Metazoa; Chordata; Mammalia; Rodentia; Muridae. The record is from Ensembl.